This 2181-nucleotide long non-coding RNA is filed under the name Rhipicephalus microplus (southern cattle tick). Its description in RNAcentral is "uncharacterized LOC119165783, transcript variant X2". The record is from RNAcentral. Lineage: Eukaryota; Metazoa; Arthropoda; Arachnida; Ixodida; Ixodidae.
UGAAGCGUGCGUGCCGUUGCUCUACUGUCUGGUCGACAGCGUUCGUACGCUCAAGUCGAGAUUCGACGCUAUUUCGGCCAGAUAUGUCUUGCAUGGUCGACAUGGAAAGGGGCGCCAUUCCGUCGACACCGCUUUUGUGGGCUUCACGCUAACGGGCAAACUUGGGCUGACGCUGGCUUCUCCACUGUUCUGUGUUUGCGGUGGAUGCCUGGGCACAUGCUGUCAAUGAUGCCAACUAGAACGCUCCUCUGAAUGACUUAAUAAGGCAAUAUGAAUGCAUGCUGCACAAGAAGCAAGACUUCAUUGAUGCCUUUAGGAUGUAUUGCCUCAAAGAGUGGCUUAAAAGCUGUACCCGGUUAAAUUCGCUUUUACUUCCUCAAAAAGUGACUUUGGCCCCAAAAAAACAUUGGUACGCGUCAGCGCAAGCAAUUGCCAGGCAGAGACAAGAAGUGAUGGUAAAAUUUAUAGCUUCAUUAUUGCACGCACAGGUACAUCAACAUGAUGGCAGUACAAAAGAAUGCAUAGAGACUUGAAACCAAGCCUAUUGUGGGCAUCAGAGAAUUCAGCUACCAGCCAUAAUCUGCCAGCCACCUGGAAAUAGACUUGGCAUCAUCACUACAGGAAAAGGAACACAUACUGUGUUUGAAAAUUAAGAGAUGGAACUCUUCAAAACUUUCAGCAUUUAUGGAGAUCGGAACAAGCGUAAAAUCUGCACGGCUGGCAAAAUUGUGACUGCGUAAAGGGGUGCCAGUGGUUACAGUCACUUGGAGCACUGUUUACCACCAAUGGCAUUGUCACUGGGAACAUUCCAUUAGAUAGGGCCAUCCUGUUCAAUAGUGCAAGCACUACCAAGGCACCCAAGUCACCGUCAUCCCUUUUGAAAUGAGUGAAGAGACUUGUCAGUCUGUUGUGCGAAGUACCUGGCAUAUAGCCCUAUAGACACUUCACAUACCAAGAAUAAUCACUUGGUGCGGGUGCACAUAGAAGAGGCUAAUUCGGCCUGAUGCUGACUUCUCAAGUUUACUCGCUGUUCGACAUGGAUGUCUGGACCCAAGCUAUCAAUUAUUUGAACUACAACGCUCCUAUAAAUGGUCCUCUGAGACGUUAUGAAAGUCAAGGUCGGAAAUGAAUGGCCACACCAUCAAACCCUUCAUGAUGAAAUGGCUCACGAGCAGCUUCUGCUUGUCCAUCGGCGCUUCUUUAGUCUGUCACUCUCAGUGCUCUCCUUUCUCUCUACCUAGUGAUCUGUAACUCUCCCCAUCUCUGUUUGAAUUUCUCACUAUCUGCAUUUGUCUGUCCAUCCCUCUGCCUGCAUAUCUCUUAAUGUUUGUCUACGUCAUUGUCUGUUCACGUUGCUCUGUAUGUCUCGGUCUACACGUUCGUCUUGCGGCAUUUCACUGUGUCCUUCUGUAGUCUUUUGUCAGUCUCUGACUGCGUAUGUCCAUUGAUCUGCCUGUGUCUGUUAGUCCGUGUUUCUGUCUACUUUCAUAAUUUGUCUCUCUGCAUUUACCCGCGCGUAAAUGUCUGUCAUUGUUUUCUUGUCUAUCUGCCUUGAUUAGUCUGUGUGACCGUUUGCCUGUCUCAAUUUUGCUGCUAUGAUUCAGCCCUGUCUAUCCGAAAAUCUGACGUUUCGUCAAUCCGUGCAUCUCCAGCCCUUUGUCUAUAUCCAUGUCGGUCCAUGCAUCUGUCUGUCUGCCUGUCUCAUUUUGUACCUAUCAGUGCGUCUCUGUACACGAAUUUUUGUGUAUCUAUCCAUCUGCCCGUUUGUCUCUCUCUCUCUCUCUGGGUCAGUCUCUUCAUGCGUUUUCACUAUCCAUCUGUCCGAGUCUGUGCCUUUAUCUUGCCCGUCAGUCCGUCUCUUCAUACGUAGGUGUUCUGUGCAUCUGUCUUACUAUUUCCCUGUCUCUGUAAGUCCCUCCAUUGUCUUUAUUCAGUGUUUUCACUGUCCAUCUGCCUGCAUUCAUGCCUCCAUCCUUCGGUGUAAUAUGGUGGGUCUCUGUGUUUUUACAUCCGUUCAACCGUCUUUGCCUCCAUCCGGCAUUCUGUCUGUCUUUCAGGGUGAAGCUCCUUACGCCAUUGGUCAUUUCCUCCUCUAUAGUGGCAAUAUGUAGCAACCUCCAAUUUCAGUCGCUCGUUAGAGGGUGUUGUAUAAGUGCAUUUUGUUUGUCUUUUAGGAUGAAG